UACGGAGGGGGCUAGCGUUGUUCGGAAUUACUGGGCGUAAAGCGCACGUAGGCGGCUUUGCAAGUUAGAGGUGAAAGCCCAGGGCUCAACCCUGGAAUUGCCUUUAAAACUGCGUCGCUAGAAUUGUGGAGAGGUAAGUGGAAUUCCGAGUGUAGAGGUGAAAUUCGUAGAUAUUCGGAAGAACACCAGUGGCGAAGGCGACUUACUGGACACAUAUUGACGCUGAGGUGCGAAAGCGUGGGGAGCAAACAGG
This 253-nucleotide ribosomal RNA is filed under the name uncultured bacterium. RNAcentral's name for it is "partial 16S ribosomal RNA". It matches the Rfam family "Bacterial small subunit ribosomal RNA", at positions 524 to 776 of the family's 1533-position model. The record is from RNAcentral.